This is a regulatory RNA element of 121 nucleotides. It matches the Rfam family "ylbH leader". From Rfam's summary of the family: This family is a putative regulatory RNA structure that is found upstream of the ylbH gene in B. subtilis and related low GC Gram-positive bacteria. The record is from Rfam.
AUAAAAAAAUCCCUACAGUACAUACUGUAGGGUCCUUCAAUACCUCACAAAUAGGCUGAAGGCAAAGGGAGAGGAGAAACCGGAGGAAGAACUUAUGGGGAAACGUAAGUCUUCUCCGCGG